GAAAGAACAAACCCGCGAUACGAGCAGACACAAUAUUGUGUUACCUUGUGGGUUAUCAUAAGCGAGUAAGUUAAAAUCGUUCGAAGAAGAUAGGUGAACUUCCUAGUGGUAGUUAUUUGAAAGACAAAAAAGCAGAAAUGGAAUCCGAAAACAAACCUGAAAUUGUGGAAAAUCAAAGCGAAAUAAACCAAGAAAAGAAGGAAAAGCCAAAGCUUUUAAGAGCAGCGCCAACGAGAAAUCGCUUUGGAAGAACUCAGCCGAAGAAACACACACAGGAUCUCAAAGGAAAAGAAGAAACAAGUGAUAAGGAAAGCCACAAAUAAUGAUGUACGUGAUUGAAGGUCUGCGUAAUGUGUAGCGCAGAGCAGAAAAUAAAUUAUAUUGAGUUUAUGCUAUUGCAUGAACACAUUCUUAUAUGCGGUAAUAAAACAAUAUAACUAAGACAUCGUUAUUUGGCUUUACUCUCAUGAGUGAUUGAGCAACUUUUCCGGGACACAGUAUUAUUUUUGCCCUUCAUAUAGCUUUAGAAAUCGAUAUGAAACUAGCAUUUUUUCCGCAUGCGAACGUCUAAGGCUAACGGACAUUUAAGAUUAAGCCUUUGCGGGGCCCAAUUUAAACUCAAACAAACAAAAUUGUAGAUAACAUAUAGGAGUACAGCGGUUGAAUUUCGUGAAGAUAGUACUUAUUGUUUCGAAUUUUGGGGUGUACCAUCGCCUGGAAAAACGCGCCGCUGAAAAGUUCGACUAAGCCAGCAUUGUAGUAGUGAAAAACUUGUGUAGCAGAUUUAGCAUAGUCGAAGGUGCACCAUAAGAAGGCAUGCUCAGAUUCGCAAAAUUCUUGAAACAUUUUUGAUGUUUCGGAAAAAUGAGU
Long non-coding RNA from Argiope bruennichi, 870 nucleotides. RefSeq lists it as uncharacterized. The transcript has 3 exons. The record is from RefSeq and is a predicted model, not a curated record. NCBI's taxonomy places the organism in Eukaryota, Metazoa, Arthropoda, Arachnida, Araneae, Araneidae.